RNAcentral lists this ribosomal RNA (477 nucleotides) under uncultured bacterium. RNAcentral's name for it is "bacterial SSU rRNA". It matches the Rfam family "Bacterial small subunit ribosomal RNA", at positions 365 to 832 of the family's 1533-position model. The record is from RNAcentral.
UUCGCAAUGCCCGAAAGGGUGACGAAGCGACGCCGCGUGCGGGAAGAAGGCCUUCGGGUUGUAAACCGCUGUCGGGAGUUAAGAAAUGUAAGGAUGUUAAUAGCAUCUUUGCUUGACUAAGGCUCCGGAGGAAGCCACGGCUAACUCUGUGCCAGCAGCCGCGGUAAUACAGAGGCGGCAAGCGUUGUUCGGAAUUAUUGGGCGUAAAGAGCACGUAGGCGGCUAUGUAAGUCGGUUGUGAAAGCCUUCCGCUCAACGGGAGAACAGCAUCCGAUACUGCAUGGCUUGAGUGCGGGAGGGGAGAGUGGAACUUCUGGUGGAGCGGUGAAAUGCGUAGAUAUCAGAAGGAACGCCGGCGGCGAAAGCGGCUCUCUGGCCCAUAACUGACGCUGAGUGUGCGAAAGCUAGGGGAGCAAACGGGAUUAGAUACCCCGGUAGUCCUAGCCGUAAACGAUGGGCACUAAGUAGAGGGGUUUA